GCUACCAAACUUCCUCUAUAAAUAAAGGAAGCAGAAGACCCUCAAGUAAAUUAUUCGAUAGACUCAGUUAUCUCUCUAAGCUCUCUUCUAUCUUCCACUAUUCUCUGAAUUCCAAUUGAAUUGAGCGUUGGAGGAUCCCCAUAGAAAAAACUUCGAUAAGAGGACUUUGUUUCAAGUGCUUCUUUCAACUAAGAGCAGCAACAAUCAUAAUCUUGAGCCCCAUAUAGCACAUUAGAAGUUAACUGAUCUCAUUAUCACUUCGACCUACUGACAUAAGAGUUCAAUAGCAAUUGUUUAGCACUAAAGGAAGGGUG
Molecule: long non-coding RNA, 314 nt
Filed under: Elaeis guineensis (African oil palm)
Lineage: Eukaryota; Viridiplantae; Streptophyta; Magnoliopsida; Arecales; Arecaceae
Description: long non-coding RNA (EGUI_LNC020149)
Source: RNAcentral